CCGGCAACUGGACAGUGACAGCAGCAUAGUCAAUUCCAUCUUUCUCCUCAAACUUGAUCGAACCAUCAGCACCAACUUCAAAGGGUCCUUCAAUCUCGUCUAGUGUGUAAGUUAGACGAGUCAUGAGCUUGGUGUUUUGGAAUUCUGGUGGGGCGUUCUUGCUCACUCCUUCAGCCUUCACAGUGAAAGAAGUUGGCUCAAGACAGAAUUUCUUGGCUUGAUAUUUGCCUGCCUUGAAGGCAAAUGAAUCAACUCCUCCAUCAAUGGUUGGGCACUGGUUAGCUGUUCCAGUUCCCUUAACUUCAAGGUAUGUCUUGCUCUGAAUUUCAUCAAAGGUGAGUCUCUUUGGUACUCCUUCAGCACCAGCUCCCUGGAAAUACAUGAAAAGUAUCGAACAAUUAAGAUGCUCACCAAGUUGUAGGAUUACACUUUGUAUAUAUCAAGUGUUAAUCAGUCUAGACAUUCUUAGAUCUCAUAUAUCAAGUGUACUCAGACUAAUUAAGUCCUUGAAGUGAGAUUUUCUUUAACGCUUUAAAACUUUAAAGUCUGUAUCUAAUAUUUAAGUCAUUUAAGACUUACCGUAACACACUAACCAUAUAUCAUCAGUGGACUAUGUGGUGGACUGAUUUUCAAAUAAUCCUUGAUUGAAUAGUAUAAUGAAAAUGUUAUGGGAUCAUUAAUGUAAAAAUGAAUUACAAGUUAAAUUAAGAACAACAGGUACUUUAUUAAGUCACAGAGAAUCAAAUGGAUUAUUCCACUUGGAUCUAAGUAGUUUGAUCCUUUAUUUGGCAAGAAAUUGCCACUAAGUUAAACAAAUUCGGAGAUUAUCAAUUACCCAUUCUAAGUCUGAACUAUAAUUAUUUUCUCCAAGAACUCAAUUCAAUAUCAGCAACUAAAACAAUACAGACAUUCACAUCCAAACGCAAAUAUAAAGCAUCGUGGAGAAUCAUAAGAAGAAAGUAAUCGUGGAAGGAAAGUACGAUAAGAACAUACCGAAACGACAAGAGCGGAAGUGGCAAGAGCGAAGCCGGCAAUCUUAGCAGCAUCGGCAAACUUGCGAGAAACGUCUUUGAGAUCGGAGUGAAGAGAGCAGGUGAGUCUAGGUCCGGAAGAUUCAAGGCCAAAGGCUUUAGAAAGGGAUUGAGAAGAUCUGAGGUGAGAGGUGGUAGUUCUUGAAGCCAACUUGGAGGGUUGCAUAAGGGUAGCCGCGGCCGCCUGAACUGAAGCCGCCAUUGUUGUAUCCGGAUUGAGUGUAAGAGAGGAGAAGUGAAAUUUUGUGCGGGGAAUGAUACUGAAACUAUAACGGAGAGUAGAGAGGAUUUAGGAAAUGAAUUAUGU
RNAcentral lists this long non-coding RNA (1338 nucleotides) under Cucumis sativus (cucumber). RNAcentral's name for it is "long non-coding RNA (CSAT_LNC002475)". The record is from RNAcentral. Lineage: Eukaryota; Viridiplantae; Streptophyta; Magnoliopsida; Cucurbitales; Cucurbitaceae.